UACGUAGGGGGCAAGCGUUGUCCGGAAUCAUUGGGCGUAAAGCGCGCGUAGGCGGCCCGGUAAGUCCGCUCUGAAAGUCCAGGGCUCAACCCUGGAAAGCGGGUGGAUACUGCCGGGCUAGAAUCCGGAAGAGGCGAGUGGAAUUCCUGGUGUAGCGGUGGAAUGCGCAGAUAUCAGGAGGAACACCAAUAGCGAAGGCAGCUCGCUGGGACGGUAUUGACGCUAAGGCGCAAAAGCGUGGGGAGCAAACAGG
Molecule: ribosomal RNA, 253 nt
Filed under: uncultured bacterium
Lineage: Bacteria
Description: partial 16S ribosomal RNA
Rfam family: Bacterial small subunit ribosomal RNA
Source: RNAcentral